This 432-nucleotide ribosomal RNA is filed under the name uncultured bacterium. Its description in RNAcentral is "partial 16S ribosomal RNA". It matches the Rfam family "Bacterial small subunit ribosomal RNA", at positions 338 to 795 of the family's 1533-position model. The record is from RNAcentral.
CCUACGGGGGGCAGCAGUAAGGAAUAUUGGUCAAUGGACGAAAGUCUGAACCAGCCAUGCCGCGUGAAGGAUGAAGGCCCUUGGGUUGUAAACUUCUUUUAUCUGGGACGCGGUACCAGAGGAAUAAGCACCGGCUAACUCCGUGCCAGCAGCCGCGGUAAUACGGAGGGUGCAAGCGUUAUCCGGAUUUACUGGGUUUAAAGGGUGCGUAGGUGGGUCUGUAAGUCAGUGGUGAAAUCUCCGAGCUUAACUCGGAAACUGCCAUUGAUACUAUAGAUCUUGAAUAUUCUGGAGGUGAGCGGAAUAUGUCAUGUAGCGGUGAAAUGCUUAGAUAUGACAUAGAACACCAAUUGCGAAGGCAGCUCACUACGGGAUAUUGACACUGAGGCACGAAAGCGUGGGGAUCAAACAGGAUUAGAUACCCUUGUAGUC